AGAGUUUGAUCCUGGCUCAGGAUGAACGCUGGCGGCGUGCUUAACACAUGCAAGUCGAGCGAAGCACUAAAACGAAUUUCUUCGGAAUGAAGUUUUAGUGACUGAGCGGCGGACGGGUGAGUAACGCGUGGGUGACCUGCCUCAUACAGGGGGAUAACAGACAGAAAUGUCUGCUAAUACCGCAUAAGCGCACAGUGCUGCAUGGCACAGUGUGAAAAACUCCGGUGGUAUGAGAUGGACCCGCGUCUGAUUAGCUAGUUGGUAAGGUAACGGCUUACCAAGGCGACGAUCAGUAGCCGGCCUGAGAGGGUGAACGGCCACAUUGGGACUGAGACACGGCCCAAACUCCUACGGGAGGCAGCAGUGGGGAAUAUUGCACAAUGGGGGAAACCCUGAUGCAGCGACGCCGCGUGAAGGAAGAAGUAUUUCGGUAUGUAAACUUCUAUCAGCAGGGAAGAAAAUGACGGUACCUGACUAAGAAGCCCCGGCUAACUACGUGCCAGCAGCCGCGGUAAUACGUAGGGGGCAAGCGUUAUCCGGAUUUACUGGGUGUAAAGGGAGCGUAGACGGCAUGGCAAGUCUGGUGUGAAAGGCAGGGGCUCAACCCCUGGACUGCAUUGGAAACUGUCAGGCUGGAGUGCAGGAGAGGUAAGUGGAAUUCCUAGUGUAGCGGUGAAAUGCGUAGAUAUUAGGAGGAACACCAGUGGCGAAGGCGACUUACUGGACUGUAACUGACGUUGAGGCUCGAAAGCGUGGGGAGCAAACAGGAUUAGAUACCCUGGUAGUCCACGCC
This 793-nucleotide ribosomal RNA is filed under the name uncultured Robinsoniella sp. Its description in RNAcentral is "bacterial SSU rRNA". It matches the Rfam family "Bacterial small subunit ribosomal RNA", at positions 8 to 801 of the family's 1533-position model. Lineage: Bacteria; Bacillati; Bacillota; Clostridia; Lachnospirales; Lachnospiraceae. The record is from RNAcentral.